This is a long non-coding RNA of Capsicum annuum, 788 nucleotides long. RefSeq lists it as uncharacterized. The transcript is spliced from 2 exons. The record is from RefSeq and is a predicted model, not a curated record. Lineage: Eukaryota; Viridiplantae; Streptophyta; Magnoliopsida; Solanales; Solanaceae.
CACUUUUUGCCAAUGAAUCAGCCGCCCCUCGGCCCACCUCUCUCUACAACUCCACCUUUCUCUGUCUUUGUCCGUCCCCCCCCCCCCCUCCCCCCCGUCCCAUAAACUGACCACCGGCGACGGACCAUCAAACGCCUCGCCGCUGCCGCUCUUUCCCCUUUCCCCCGUUCUCUUUCUCUUUCUAUUUGGUCUACUUGUCACCGAUAAGACCACCAUCGAAAAUAGCUCACCGGCAAACUCCUUCAACCUCUUCUGCCGCUGCCAAUUUCCGUCCUGCCUAACCAUCGGCGACCUCCCUUAUGAUAAUCAAAAUUAAAUUUUUAAUGUUUGUUGCUGCAGACUGUUAACAAUUCUACAUACAAGGAGGGGUCUUACUUGAUCACCAGUUUCAAACAAUAGAAUUAUCUAUUUUGAUUGUUUGCCUAUUUGGCAUUGAACAGCUUCUCCAAUGCUAGGCUUGGGCAAGACAAGAACUCAAACUAGGUCUAGCAGAUCUCUCUCUCUAGGAGCCAAGUGAUGCGGCUAGUGGAUCCAUUUCUCCCAUGGAUGCAAGGAAACCACGUGAUGAUAGUGAUCCUAAUGACACUCGUAAUUUUGUUGUAAAUUAUCUUGAAUAUUCAAUUAUGAUGAUGUAAUUGUGUGGUUGGAGAGAAUCUUAGAAUAUUGAAGGUUUUGUGUUUAAAGAUAUUAGUUAAUGUUGAAAAUUUGGAGUUUGAAGAUGCUAAUGUUGAAAAUUUAAUUUUGAAGUUUAAUGUUCAAUGCAUUUUUGAGAUGCUUGUGAAUUACAA